AUCCAUUAACCAGGGGGCCUCGCCGAAUAUGACACUGACGCUUAAUAUGGACCGAACCCCACGGAUCCAUAAAAGCUCAGUGUCAAACUCGGCGUGAGCCCCCGACCCCUUAUAAUAUU
This 119-nucleotide microRNA precursor is filed under the name Caenorhabditis remanei. Lineage: Eukaryota; Metazoa; Nematoda; Chromadorea; Rhabditida; Rhabditidae. The record is from RNAcentral.